AUGAACGCUAGCGGCAGGCUUAAUACAUGCAAGUCGUGGGGCAGCAUGAGUAGCAAUACUUGAUGGCGACCGGCAAACGGGUGCGGAACACGUACACAACCUUCCGAUAAGUGGGGAAUAGCCCAGAGAAAUUUGGAUUAAUACCCCGUAACAUAUAGAGUAGGCAUCUUCUUUAUAUUAUAGCUUCGGCGCUUAUUGAUGGGUGUGCGUCUGAUUAGGUAGUUGGCGGGGUAACGGCCCACCAAGCCUACGAUCAGUAGCUGAUGUGAGAGCAUGAUCAGCCACACGGGCACUGAGACACGGGCCCGACUCCUACGGGAGGCAGCAGUAAGGAAUAUUGGACAAUGGGCGAAAGCCUGAUCCAGCCAUGCCGCGUGAAGGAUUAAGGUCCUCUGGAUUGUAAACUUCUUUUAUUUGGGACGAAAAAAGGGAAUUCUUUCCCACUUGACGGUACCAAGUGAAUAAGCACCGGCUAACUCCGU
Molecule: ribosomal RNA, 482 nt
Filed under: uncultured bacterium
Lineage: Bacteria
Description: bacterial SSU rRNA
Rfam family: Bacterial small subunit ribosomal RNA
Source: RNAcentral